UACGAAGGGGGCUAGCGUUGCUCGGAAUCACUGGGCGUAAAGCGCACGUAGGCGGAUUGCUAAGUCAGGGGUGAAAUCCUGGAGCUCAACUCCAGAACUGCCUUUGAUACUGGUGACCUUGAGUCCGGGAGAGGUGAGUGGAACUGCGAGUGUAGAGGUGAAAUUCGUAGAUAUUCGCAAGAACACCAGUGGCGAAGGCGGCUCACUGGUCCGGUACUGACGCUGAGGUGCGAAAGCGUGGGGAGCAAACAGG
Molecule: ribosomal RNA, 253 nt
Filed under: uncultured bacterium
Lineage: Bacteria
Description: partial 16S ribosomal RNA
Rfam family: Bacterial small subunit ribosomal RNA
Source: RNAcentral